Molecule: non-coding RNA, 79 nt
Organism: Picea glauca (white spruce)
Lineage: Eukaryota; Viridiplantae; Streptophyta; Pinopsida; Pinales; Pinaceae
Source: Rfam
GGGCAUGUAGCUUAAUGAUAGAGCAGCCUACCGACCGGGGCCAGCGGUCAGGUCUUGGGUUCAAUUCCCAGCCUGUCCA